CCUACGGGAGGCAGCAGUGGGGAAUAUUGCACAAUGGGGGAAACCCUGAUGCAGCAACGCCGCGUGAGUGAUGACGGCCUUCGGGUUGUAAAGCUCUGUCUUUGGGGACGAUAAUGACGGUACCCAAGGAGGAAGCCACGGCUAACUACGUGCCAGCAGCCGCGGUAAU
This 169-nucleotide ribosomal RNA is filed under the name uncultured bacterium. RNAcentral describes it as "partial 16S ribosomal RNA". It matches the Rfam family "Bacterial small subunit ribosomal RNA", at positions 338 to 524 of the family's 1533-position model. The record is from RNAcentral.